Molecule: non-coding RNA, 284 nt
Organism: Lonchura striata (white-rumped munia)
Lineage: Eukaryota; Metazoa; Chordata; Aves; Passeriformes; Estrildidae
Source: RefSeq, a predicted model, not a curated record
GAAUGCACGAGAAAUUAUGCUCCUCGAAAAAAAGCAGCGUAAGAAGGGAUACCCAGAGAUCACAUCACCUCACCUCAGUCAAGGCUAUCGUUUUGGCUCGAAACGCCGACUGCGGACUUAAACCGGGUCUCCUCCCUACCCCAUUGGGAAAGCAGCACUGAGUGAGCAGCUGCCUGGUGCUCAGUUGCCAGCUGAAGCUAAACCACAGCACCACGUUAACUUUCAGAUCAGCUCUGGAAUAUUUUUUGAGAGUGGGUUUAUGAGAAGCAGCUCUUAUCUGGGAC